GGGGCAAGCGUUAUCCGGAUUUACUGGGUGUAAAGGGAGCGUAGACGGUAAUGCAAGUCUGGAGUGAAAUGCAGGGGCUCAACCCCUGAACUGCUUUGGAAACUGUAUGACUGGAGUGCAGGAGAGGUAAGUGGAAUUCCUAGUGUAGCGGUGAAAUGCGUAGAUAUUAGGAGGAACACCAGUGGCGAAGGCGGCUUACUGGACUGUAACUGACGUUGAGGCUCGAAAGCGUGGGGAGCAAACA
This 244-nucleotide ribosomal RNA is filed under the name uncultured bacterium. Its description in RNAcentral is "partial 16S ribosomal RNA". It matches the Rfam family "Bacterial small subunit ribosomal RNA", at positions 531 to 774 of the family's 1533-position model. The record is from RNAcentral.